UCCCUUAGUAGCGGCGAGCGAACAGGGAAGAGCCCAGCGCCGAAUUCCGCGUCUCAAAGGGCGUUUGGAACAUGUGGCGUUUAGGAGGAAUCUCUCCGAGGGCAGACGGUGUCGCAAGUCCCCCUGAACGGGGCUGUGAUCCAGAGCGGGUGCGAGGCCCAUAGCUGGUACCGUCUCCUUUGGGUGUCCCCUCCUUGGAGUCGGGUUGCUUGGGAGUGCAGCCCUAAUUGGGUGGUAAACUCCACCUAAGGCUAAAUACGUCCGUGAGACCGAUAGCAAACAAGUACCGUGAGGGAAAGUUGCAAAGAACUUUGAAGAGAGAGUUCAAGAGUACGUGAAACCGCUCAGAGGCAAACGGGUGGGCCCACGAAAGCCGAAGGCGGGGGGAUUCAGUCGAGAGGACGGUGGGGCAGGACUGGCUGGUUGGACGGACCGUGCCAGGCCGGGUCAGUUCCCGAGAUCUGCCGCCUUUCGACGCAUUUCCCCCUGCUUAGUAGGACGCCGCAACCGGUUGGCGCUGCAGCCAUAAGGGAGAGUAAAUGGAAGGUAGCCAGUGAGUUCUUCUUCGGAGGCGCGAGCUGGUCCUAAGCCGACUCUCCUGGUGCUUGUGGCCCGACCGUGGUCGUGAGUCCCUCAACGGGAUGUCGCCGAGCCCUCUGACUGGAGCGGGAGAAAUGGCAGGCUGCUUUCCGCGGAAAARAUCGAUCGCUUCACGCGUGCAGUGGGCGAUCUCCGGAGGUAGCUGCUGGUGCGUUUUUCUCCUGCGCUGGGCACAGGCAGUUGGCGGCGAGUAGGUCGGUCACCCACCCGACCCGUCUUGAAACACGGACCAAGGAGUCUAACAUGUGCGCGAGUCAUUGGGUCUUGAACAAGCCCAAAGGCGCAAUGAAAGUGAAGACCAGCACUGAAGCUGGUGGAGUUGGGAAACUGUGUCACUGAAGAUGCAGUUGCACCAACGGCCCGUCCCGUCCGCAUCGUCGGUGGGGCGGAGCGAGAGCGUACACGUUGGGACCCGAAAGAUGGUGAACUAUGCCUGGGCAGGACGAAGCCAGAGGAAACUCUGGUGGAGGUCCG
RNAcentral lists this ribosomal RNA (1074 nucleotides) under Draculoides sp. SCH082. RNAcentral describes it as "partial large subunit ribosomal RNA". The record is from RNAcentral. RNAcentral also lists the same sequence under 1 other name. Lineage: Eukaryota; Metazoa; Arthropoda; Arachnida; Schizomida; Hubbardiidae.